AUUGAACGCUGGCGGCAGGCCUAACACAUGCAAGUCGAGCGGAUGAAGGGAGCUUGCUCCUGGAUUCAGCGGCGGACGGGUGAGUAAUGCCUAGGAAUCUGCCUGGUAGUGGGGGAUAACGUCCGGAAACGGGCGCUAAUACCGCAUACGUCCUGAGGGAGAAAGUGGGGGAUCUUCGGACCUCACGCUAUCAGAUGAGCCUAGGUCGGAUUAGCUAGUUGGUGGGGUAAAGGCCUACCAAGGCGACGAUCCGUAACUGGUCUGAGAGGAUGAUCAGUCACACUGGAACUGAGACACAGUCCAGACUCCUACGGGAGGCAGCAGUGGGGAAUAUUGGACAAUGAGCGAAAGCCUGAUCCAGCCAUGCCGCGUGUGUGAAGAAGGUCUUCGGAUUGUAAAGCACUUUAAGUUGGGAGGAAGGGCAGUAAGUUAAUACCUUGCUGUUUUGACGUUACCAACAGAAUAAGCACCGGCUAACUUCGUG
This 484-nucleotide ribosomal RNA is filed under the name uncultured bacterium. Its description in RNAcentral is "partial 16S ribosomal RNA". It matches the Rfam family "Bacterial small subunit ribosomal RNA", at positions 30 to 507 of the family's 1533-position model. The record is from RNAcentral.